UUUUUUUUUUCUUUGUUGAUGCUUCGUCUAUCCCAUUACUCAUUAUUUCUCAUAUCGAUUUUGUAUGUAAAUUUCCAUGUCUAGUCGCUCACUUAUAUAUAUUCGAUUUGUUUUUUUUUUCAUCGAUGUCAGAGCUUUUUCCAAGUAGAGUUUACAUUUUACAGACAUUAUGCAUCUUGAUAUCAACGGAUAUCAAUGAAUUGUUAAGUUUGAGAGUUUUUUCUUGUUCUUUAAUUGAGA
This 240-nucleotide long non-coding RNA is filed under the name Fragaria vesca (wild strawberry). RNAcentral's name for it is "long non-coding RNA (FVES_LNC004643)". The record is from RNAcentral. Lineage: Eukaryota; Viridiplantae; Streptophyta; Magnoliopsida; Rosales; Rosaceae.